Molecule: long non-coding RNA, 1381 nt
Organism: Tarenaya hassleriana
Lineage: Eukaryota; Viridiplantae; Streptophyta; Magnoliopsida; Brassicales; Cleomaceae
Exons: 2
Source: RefSeq, a predicted model, not a curated record
UACAUCUAUAUAUUAUAUAUUUAUAAUAUGUUUUUAAUAACACCAUCAAAAUUGUUUACAACUGCUGUGUUUGAUUGGCUGCCAAUGGAUUCUGGGAGUGGCAUUGCCUUAUCCUGCUUCUCUUAGGGCUCUCGUGGGUCGGUUGACAAUCACUCACUCGCCCAAACAUUACCAUAUUAUGCGGUACAUAAGUUGAGUCAGUGUGCUGAUUCCUGAUUCCAGAAGAUUUCGGUCUGACAACGUAUUUUGAGAUUUCGACCGGCAAAUCUCUACUGCGACAGUAAAUCCGCCAUCCAUAUCGUCUCCAAUCGAGCAUCUCAUGAACGAACAAAGCACGUCGAAAUCGAUUGCCAUUCGGUGAGAGAUAAGCUAAAGUCCUUGCAUCUACGGUCGUUAUUUCAUUCUUUGCUUCAGAAGUCCAAUCCAUCAAGUUCAUGUCUGCCUUCACACACCUGUAAAUUUGAAGGGGAAUCGCUACCUCGUAAGCGGUCGUGGGUUCUGUUUAGAUGGGGCCGAGUUUUCAGUCUCAGGAACUGUCGACUUCAAGAAGGCAAGAAGAAACCCAUAUUUCUGUCGACUGUGGGUAUAAUUGAUGGUUCCAUCAAAGAUGGGUCAUUUUUAAGACAAUGGUGCACGUGAUUUAAACAAUCAUUAGGUUAUGGAACCAAAGCAUAAACUAAACCAAAACGCAUGCACGCAUUUAAUUGCGAAAGAACAAACAAGAUUUGCACGUCAAGCAGUUCAAUCAAACCACAAUCUAAUGGACAUUACAUGAAAAUGUAGCUGCUGCUGCUCUCACAGCAACUCUGUUAACCAUGUCAUCAGACAGCCAAAAACCACAUCUAACCAUCUAUUACACCGCUACAUAUGACCAAAACACGCGCACUUAUUAUAUCGUCAUGUAAACAAGUUCGAUCUUUCCACACGAAUCCAUGUUUAUAUAAAAAACACGAACAAACCUAAGGUGAGAAGUUAAUGAUAGGAAAUGAUCAAACCUCUGCGUAUGAUCCUUCCGAACUGCAGAAUUUGCCACGGGUCAACCAUCGGUGCUGACGCCAAACCCCCAAAGUCGGAUCAAAGUGGGUCCAGCUGUGUGGUUUCAGAAGCUCUUCAGAAGAUGAACCCUAACCCUAAAUAUGAAAGCCCAGCACCAGACAUAACAUUUAUUGGUUGAUUCCACAUCUGUUUACUCAUAGUAACUAUUAAGAAAGGCGUUUCCAAUCGGGAUGCUCAUCAAAGCUCUGUUCAGAAAGAAGAGAGAGCAAAACCUUGGAGUCAACUCCAAACAGGCUUUUCCUCCGGCCAUCUGUCAAAGUUUGAACCUCUCCCGCAAUGAUGACGCCUGCAUAACCACCCCGCACAAGCUAUGAUCCAACUUCCU